UGGGGAAUAUUGGACAAUGGGCGCAAGCCUGAUCCAGCCAUGCUGCGUGAGUGAUGAAGGCCCUAGGGUUGUAAAGCUCUUUCACCGGUGAAGAUAAUGACGGUAACCGGAGAAGAAGCCCCGGCUAACUUCGUGCCAGCAGCCGCGGUAAUACGAAGGGGGCUAGCGUUGUUCGGAUUUACUGGGCGUAAAGCGCACGUAGGCGGACUUUUAAGUCAGGGGUGAAAUCCCGGGGCUCAACCCCGGAACUGCCUUUGAUACUGGAAGUCUUGAGUAUGGUAGAGGUGAGUGGAAUUCCGAGUGUAGAGGUGAAAUUCGUAGAUAUUCGGAGGAACACCAGUGGCGAAGGCGGCUCACUUGACCAUUACUGACGCUGAGGUGCGAAAGCAUGGAGAGCAAGCAGG
Molecule: ribosomal RNA, 404 nt
Filed under: Actinomycetes bacterium
Lineage: Bacteria; Bacillati; Actinomycetota; Actinomycetes
Description: Actinobacteria bacterium partial 16S ribosomal RNA
Rfam family: Bacterial small subunit ribosomal RNA
Source: RNAcentral